UGUGUGUUGUUGGGUAGGGGAGCGUUCUGUAAGCCUGUGAAGGUGGCCUGUGAGGGUUGCUGGAGGUAUCAGAAGUGCGAAUGCUGACAUAAGUAACGAUAAAGCGGGUGAAAAGCCCGCUCGCCGGAAGACCAAGGGUUCCUGUCCAACGUUAAUCGGGGCAGGGUGAGUCGACCCCUAAGGCGAGGCCGAAAGGCGUAGUCGAUGGGAAACGGGUUAAUAUUCCCGUACUUGGUGUUACUGCGAAGGGGGGACGGAGAAGGCUAUGUUGGCCGGGCGACGGUUGUCCCGGUUUAAGCGUGUAGGUGUGUGUUCCAGGUAAAUCCGGUUCACUUUAACACUGAGGCGUGACGACGAGGCACUACGGUGCUGAAGCAACAAAUGCCCUGCUUCCAGGAAAAGCCUCUAAGCAUCAGGUAACAUCAAAUCGUACCCCAAACCGACACAGGUGGUCAGGUAGAGAAUACCAAGGCGCUUGAGAGAACUCGGGUGAAGGAACUAGGCAAAAUGGUGCCGUAACUUCGGGAGAAGGCACGCUGACACGUAGGUGAAGUGAUUUACUCAUGGAGCUGAAGUCAGUCGAAGAUACCAGCUGGCUGCAACUGUUUAUUAAAAACACAGCACUGUGCAAACACGAAAGUGGACGUAUACGGUGUGACGCCUGCCCGGUGCCGGAAGGUUAAUUGAUGGGGUCAGCGCAAGCGAAGCUCCUGAUCGAAGCCCCGGUAAACGGCGGCCGUAACUAUAACGGUCCUAAGGUAGCGAAAUUCCUUGUCGGGUAAGUUCCGACCUGCACGAAUGGCGUAAUGAUGGCCAGGCUGUCUCCACCCGAGACUCAGUGAAAUUGAACUCGCUGUGAAGAUGCAGUGUACCCGCGGCAAGACGGAAAGACCCCGUGAACCUUUACUAUAGCUUGACACUGAACAUUGAGCCUUGAUGUGUAGGAUAGGUGGGAGGCUUUGAAGCGUGGACGCCAGUCUGCGUGGAGCCGACCUUGAAAUACCACCCUUUAAUGUUUGAUGUUCUAACGUGGACCCGUGAUCCGGGUUGCGGACAGUGUCUGGUGGGUAGUUUGACUGGGGCGGUCUCCUCCUAAAGAGUAACGGAGGAGCACGAAGGUUGGCUAAUCCUGGUCGGACAUCAGGAGGUUAGUGCAAUGGCAUAAGCCAGCUUGACUGCGAGCGUGACGGCGCGAGCAGGUGCGAAAGCAGGUCAUAGUGAUCCGGUGGUUCUGAAUGGAAGGGCCAUCGCUCAACGGAUAAAAGGUACUCCGGGGAUAACAGGCUGAUACCGCCCAAGAGUUCAUAUCGACGGCGGUGUUUGGCACCUCGAUGUCGGCUCAUCACAUCCUGGGGCUGAAGUAGGUCCCAAGGGUAUGGCUGUUCGCCAUUUAAAGUGGUACGCGAGCUGGGUUUAGAACGUCGUGAGACAGUUCGGUCCCUAUCUGCCGUGGGCGCUGGAGAACUGAGGGGGGCUGCUCCUAGUACGAGAGGACCGGAGUGGACGCAUCACUGGUGUUCGGGUUGUCAUGCCAAUGGCACUGCCCGGUAGCUAAAUGCGGAAGAGAUAAGUGCUGAAAGCAUCUAAGCACGAAACUUGCCCCGAG
Molecule: ribosomal RNA, 1606 nt
Filed under: Salmonella enterica subsp. enterica
Lineage: Bacteria; Pseudomonadati; Pseudomonadota; Gammaproteobacteria; Enterobacterales; Enterobacteriaceae
Description: partial 23S ribosomal RNA
Rfam family: Bacterial large subunit ribosomal RNA
Source: RNAcentral